AGAGUUUGAUCCUGGCUCAGAACGAACGCUGGCGGCAGGCCUAACACAUGCAAGUCGAGCGCCCGCAAGGGAGCGGCAGACGGGUGAGUAACGCGUGGGAACGUGCCCUUUGGUUCGGAAUAUUCCCGGGAAACUGGGAGCAAAACCGGAUAAGCCCUUCAGGGGAAAGUUUACGCCAAAGGAUCGGCCCGCGUUAGAUUAGGUAGUUGGUGGGGUAACGGCCUACCAAGCCUACGAUCUAUAGCUGAUCUGAGAGGAUGAUCAGCCACACUGGGACUGAGACACGGCCCAGACUCCUACGGGAGGCAGCAGUGGGGAAUCUUGGACAAUGGGCGCAAGCCUGAUCCAGCCAUGCCGCGUGGAUGACUGAAGGCCCUAGGGUUGUAAAGUCCUUUCGACGGGGACGAUAAUGACGGUACCCGUAGAAGAAGCCCCGGCUAACUUCGUGCCAGCAGCCGCGGUAAUACGAAGGGGGCUAGCGUUGUUCGGAUUUACUGGGCGUAAAGGGCGCGUAGGCGGAUUUUUAAGUCGGGGGUGAAAUCCCGGAGCUCAACUCCGGAACUGCCUUCGAUACUGGAAGUCUGGAGCACGGUAGAGGUGGGUGGAAUUCCGAGUGUAGCGGUGAAAUGCGUAGA
Molecule: ribosomal RNA, 635 nt
Filed under: uncultured bacterium
Lineage: Bacteria
Description: bacterial SSU rRNA
Rfam family: Bacterial small subunit ribosomal RNA
Source: RNAcentral